Molecule: ribosomal RNA, 301 nt
Filed under: uncultured bacterium
Lineage: Bacteria
Description: partial 16S ribosomal RNA
Rfam family: Bacterial small subunit ribosomal RNA
Source: RNAcentral
CAGCAGCCGCGGUAACACGGAGGGUGCAAGCGUUAUCCGGAUUUAUUGGGUUUAAAGGGUCCGUAGGCGGAUCUGUAAGUCAGUGGUGAAAUCUCACAGCUUAACUGUGAAACUGCCAUUGAUACUGCAGGUCUUGAGUAAAUUUGAAGUGGCUGGAAUAAGUAGUGUAGCGGUGAAAUGCAUAGAUAUUACUUAGAACACCAAUUGCGAAGGCAGGUCACUAAGAUUUAACUGACGCUGAUGGACGAAAGCGUGGGGAGCGAACAGGAUUAGAUACCCCGGUAGUCCCUGUCUCUUAUAC